Molecule: ribosomal RNA, 752 nt
Filed under: uncultured Glomus
Lineage: Eukaryota; Fungi; Glomeromycota; Glomeromycetes; Glomerales; Glomeraceae
Description: SSU rRNA
Rfam family: Eukaryotic small subunit ribosomal RNA
Source: RNAcentral
GGCCUACCAUGGUGGUAACGGGUAACGGGGUGUUAGGGCACGACACCGGAGAGGGAGCCUGAGAAACGGCUACCACAUCCAAGGAUGGCAGCAGGCGCGCAAAUUACCCAAUCCCGACACGGGGAGGUAGUGACAAUAAAUAACAAUACGGGGUUCUUUAGGAUCUCGUAAUUGGAAUGAGUACAAUUUAAAUCUCUUAACGAGGAACAAUUGGAGGGCAAGUCUGGUGCCAGCAGCCGCGGUAAUUCCAGCUCCAAUAGCGUAUAUUAAAGUUGUUGCAGUUAAAAAGCUCGUAGUUGAAUUUCGGGGUUAGUAAGUUGGUCAUGCCUUUGGUAUGCACUGGCUUUACUGAUUCCUCCUUCUUGACGAACCAUGAUGUCAUUAAUUUGGUGUUGCGGGAAAUCAGGACUGUUACUUUGAAAAAAUUAGAGUGUUUAAAGCAGGCUAACGCUUGAAUACAUUAGCAUGGAAUAAUGAAAUAGGACGUUAAUCCUAUUUUGUUGGUUUCUAGGAUCGACGUAAUGAUUAAUAGGGAUAGUUGGGGGCAUUAGUAUUCAAUUGUCAGAGGUGAAAUUCUUGGAUUUAUUGAAGACUAACUACUGCGAAAGCAUUUGCCAAGGAUGUUUUCAUUAAUCAAGAACGAAAGUUAGGGGAUCGAAGACGAUCAGAUACCGUCGUAGUCUUAACCAUAAACUAUGCCGACUAGGGAUCGGAUGAUGUUAAUUCUUUAAUGACUCAUUCGGCGCCUUACG